CUAGCUGAUUACACUUCUGCUCCUUGUUAUAUCUGUGCAGUGGUUUUCCCAGACCUAGACGUCCUUGCAUUCACAAAAGUACAGUUGCGCGCGCGCUCAGUACAAACCCGAAAAAAGUCCCAGCACAACAGAACAUUUACAUCUGGUGCAGAGAUCACCAUAUUUUAGCACGGGGGAAAGUAACAUAAUUGGCUUAUCGAUAGGCUUGAUGCGUUUAUUUUGUUAUGCCUUUGACCUACUGCUACAUUAGAAAAUGGCGGAGUCGGAUGGUGGGGAUUUCGCCUCGAAUCGUCCGCAGAACAGUAUGGCUAACCAGAAUAGCACCCUGCGUUGCACGUUCUCAGCCCCAAGCCAUAGCGCCACUCUCCUGCAGGGCUUGUCGGUCCUGCGAGUCCAGGGGCAGCUCCUGGAUGUGGUGUUGGCCAUCAAUGAGGAGCGCUUCCAGGUUCACAAGGCAGUGCUGGCCUCCUGCAGUGACUACUUCAGAGCCAUGUUCACCGGAGGCAUGAGGGAGUCAAACAAGGAUACCAUUGAGCUGAAAGGAUUGUCCGCCCGCGGCCUGAAACAUAUAAUUGACUUUGCUUACAGCGCAGACGUCACACUUGACCUGGACUGCAUUCAGGAUGUACUGGGAGCAGCUGUCUUUCUCCAGAUGGUCCCAGUCGUGGAGCUCUGCGAGGAGUUCCUCAAGUCAGCCAUGAGCGUAGAGACCUGCCUGAACAUUGGCCAGAUGGCCACCACCUUCAACCUGUCCUCCCUCAAGGAGUCUGUGGACACCUUUACCUUCCGCAACUUCCUGCAGAUCGCUGAGGAGGAGGACUUCCUGCACAUUCCCAUGGAGCGCCUGGUCUUCUUCCUGCAGAGCAAUAAGCUGAAGAACUGCAGCGAGAUCGACCUGUUCCACGCUGCCAUCCGCUGGCUGCAGCACGACGAGGCCCGCCGGGCCGGAGCAGACAAAGUGCUCUGCCACGUACGAUUCCCCCUCAUGCGCUCCUCGGAGCUGGUGGACAGCGUGCAGACGGUGGACAUCAUGGUAGAGGACGUGCUGUGCAGGCAGUACCUCCUGGAGGCCUUCAACUUCCAGAUCCUUCCCUUUCGUCAGCACGAGAUGCAGUCCCCUCGGACCGUGAUCCGCUCCGAAGUAGUUUCGCUCAUUACCUUUGGUGGGACACCCUACACUGACAAUGAUCGCACUGUGAGCAGUAAGGUGUUCUAUCUUCCAGACAUUGCCGCGCGUCAGUUCAAGGAACUAACGGAGGCGGAGACAGGUUCCAGCCACGCCUGUGUAUCGGUGCUGGACAACUUUGUUUACAUAGUAGGCGGGCAGCACCUGCAGUACCGCAGCGGCGAAGGGGCGGUAAACGUCUGCUUUCGCUAUGACCCGCACCUGAGCCAAUGGCUGCGCAUCCAGCCGAUGCAGGAGGUGCGCAUUCAGUUCCAGCUCAACGUUCUUCAAGGACAACUCUACGCCACUGGGGGGCGCAACCGAUCUGGAAGUCUGUCGUCCGUAGAGUGCUACUGUCCCAAGAAAAAUGAGUGGACCUACGUGGAACCACUGAAACGCAGAAUCUGGGGCCAUGCAGGAACUCCCUCUGGUGACAAGCUCUACAUCUCAGGGGGUUACGGUGUCUCGGUGGACGAUAAGAAAGCCCUGCACUGUUAUGAUCCCACAUCUGACCAAUGGGACUUCAAAUCGCCCAUGAACGAGCCCAGAGUGCUUCAUGCUAUGAUCAGCGCCAAAGACCGUGUUUACUGCCUGGGCGGUCGCAUGGACCACGUGGACCGCUGCUUUGACGUCCUGGUGGUAGAGUAUUAUAAUCCAGAGAAUGACCAGUGGACCACUGUUAGCCCCAUGCGAACAGGGCAAUCUGAGGCAGGCUGCUGCUUGUUGGACAAAAAGAUCUAUAUCGUUGGAGGGUACAAUUGGCAUCUAAACAAUGUCACAAGCAUUGUGCAAGUGUACAACACAGAGGCUGAUGAGUGGGAGAGGGACUUGCACUUCCCUGAGUCUUUUGCAGGAAUUGCGUGUACGCCGAUCAUACUUCCACAAACCACCACGCAACGGUAAUCCCUCCGCCCAAAGUGACUGUGACAAUUUGAUUCCAUGGGCGAUUCCUCACAAAACUGAAAACAAAAAAAAUACCAUGAUUUGGGGGAUUUUCAGGCAAUUUAAUCCACAGAAGGGUCCUUUGGAAGAAGGAUGGAUGACACAUACAGUACCUUCAGAAAGUAUUCACUUUUUCCACAACUUGUUGUGUUACAGCCUGAAUUUAAAAUGGAUUAAAUUUAUUUGGAUUUUGUGUCACUGGCCUACACACAAUACCCUAUAAUGUUAAAGUGGAAUUGUGUUUUUUUUUCUUCAUUUUUAUAAAUGAACAAAAACCUGAAGUGUCUUGAGUCAAUAAGUAUUCAACCCCUUUGCUAUGACAAGCCUAAAUAAUUUCAGUAGUAAAUUUGCUUAACAAGUCACAUAAUAAGUUGCAUGUACUUAUGUGUGCGAUAACAGUGUUUAUCAUGAUUUUCGAAUGACUACUUCAUCUCUGUACCCCACACAUACAAUUAUCCAUAAGGUUCUUCAGUCGAGCAGUGAAUUUCAAACAGAGAUUCAACCACAAAUACCAGGGAGGUUUUCCAAUGCCUUGCAAAGAUGGGCACCUAUUGGUAGAUGGAUAAAAAAAAGCAGACAUUGAAUAUCCCUUUGAACAUGGUCAAGUUAUUAAUUACAUUUUGGAUGGUGUAUUAAUACACCCAGUCACUACAAAGAUACAGGGGUCCUUCGUAACUCAGUUGCUGGAGAGGAAGGGGUUUCACCAUGAGGCCAAUGGUGACUUGAAAACAGUUACAGAGUUUAAUGGAGAAAACUGAGGAUGGAUCAACAGCAUUGUCGUUACUCCAUAAUACUAACCUAAAUGACAGAGUGAGAAGAAGGAAGUCUGCACAGACUAAAAAUAUUCCAAAACAUAGAUCCUGUUUGCAAUAAGGCACUAAAGUAAAACUGCCCUAUACAAUUGGCAAAUAAAUUAACUUUAUGUCUUGAAUACAAGACAAUAUUGAAUGUUCCUGAGUGGCCUAGUUACAGUUUUGACUUAAAUUGACUUGAAAAUAUAUGGCAAGAGUUGAAAAUAGCUGUCUAACAAUGGUCAACAACCAACUUGACAGCUAGAAGAAGAAAAAUAAUCAUGUUCAAAUGUUUUUACAAUCCAGGUGUGCAAACCUCUUAGAGACUUACCCAGAAAGACUCACAGCUGUAAUCACUACCAAAGGUGAUUCUAACAUGUAUUGACUCAGGGGUGUGAAUACUUAAGUAUAUUUGAUAUUUCAUUUUCAAUAAAUGUGCCAAAAAAAUCCAAAAAUAUGUUUUCAAUUUGUCAUUAUGGGUUAUUGUGUGUAGAUGGGUGAGAGUUUUUUUAAAAUGUAAUACAUUUUAAAAUUCAGGCAGUAACACAACAAAAUGUGGAAUAAGUCAAGGGGUAUGAAUAGUUUCUGAAGGUACUGUAUUUGACAUUUGUAUCUUAACGCAUAAUUGAGAAAUAAUGAAUUGAAGUUGGAAUAUUUGUGACAUUUUCACCUUGACUAUGCCUCCUUUAAGACUCCAUAAUGUUUAAUCUGUUAAGAUCUGUUAAGAUGUUGCUAUAAUAUAGGCUACAGUGUAUUACUUCAGCUUCCAUCCUAUGGUUGAGGUCCAUGUGCUGCAUUAUAAUGAACUGUGGUUGAAAUUAUGUGAAGGCCAGAGCCAGUGUAAAUGUAUUAGUGGCCUUUUAAUGGAAAAUAAGUGUUAGCUCUAAGGACAGACUUGCUUUUAAAUAGAUAGAUACAUUAUUGACAUUUCAAUGUAGUUUGGGGUGUUUAAAAAAAUACUUAAAGCAAUACCCACAAUCAAAAACCUAUUAACAGAUUUGCAGGAUAACAUUUCUACAUUUGUGCCCUGCAUCAAGGAAGCAUGUUUCUAUUAAUUGGUUGGGUAAAUACAUUGAAAUAGUCCAUUUGCAGGGUUUAACUUAAAACAAAAUGAAAAUUACAACAGAUUUGAUGACAGAUUAGACUGCAUGGUACCCGUAAGAAUUGUUCACGUUGAAGUUACUCAAAUUAAAUUUUAUUGCAUAUAGCGGAUUAGAAUCUGUUCUUUUUCCUGCAGUCUGAACAGCCAAAAAGCACAUGGAAUUUGGUAUCUAACUAGCUUGUUAAUUGUUUACAAACAAAUUAGUGAAUGUGCUAGAAAGCUAAACAGAUACCUAGCUAGCUAGUUGACUGCUGUGGCUAGCCAAAAAGGACUUGUUUUGAAACUACUUGUCUUAACCUUUGAGGCUUAAAAAGUGUUCUUACACUAUGAUGUUGAACAUUCAAAUCAACUGGAAAACGUCCAUGGGAGGCAUUGUUGUCACCUUAGCUUGCUACAUAACUUCUGAUGCCAUUUCUGUCUAGCCGUCUACGCAUACAAUUUGAUGCAUACGUUUGAUAAAUCCAAAGUGUCCACCACACAGAAUGCACUGCAACUGCUUCUGCAACGCAAUGCUGCAAGGCAAACGCAGCGUUCCAUUGGAAAUGAAUGUACAGUACUGAUCAAAUGUUUGGACACACCUACUCAUUCAAGGGUUUUUCUUUAUUUUUACUAUUUUCUACAUUGUGGAAUAAUAGUGAAGACAUCAAAACUAGGAAAAAACACAUGGAAUCGUGUAGUAACCAAAAAAGUGUUAAACAAAUGAAAAUAUAUUUUAGAUUUUAGAUUCUACAAAGUAGCCGCCCUUUGCCUUGAUGACAGCUUUGCACACUCUUGGUAUUCCCUCAACCAGCUUUACCUGGAAUGCUUUUCCAACUGUCUUGAAGGAGUUCCUACAUAUGCUGAGCACUUGUUGGCUGCUUUUGCUUCACUCUGCGGUCCAACUCAUCCCAAACCAUCUCCAUUGGGUUGAGGUCGGGUGAUUGUGGAGGCCAGGUCAUCUGAUGCAGCACUCCGUCACUCUCCUUCUUGGUCAAAUAGCCCUUACACAGCCUGGAGGUGUGUUGGGUCAAUGUCCUGUUGAAAAACAAAUGAUAGUCAGACUAAGCGUAAACCAGAUGGGAUGGUGUAUCGCUGCAGAAUGCUGUGGUAGCCAUGCUGGUUAAGUGUUCCUUGAAUUGUGUUCCUUGAAUUCUAAAUAAGUCACCGAGAGUGUCACCAGCAAAGCUCCUCCAUGUCUCACAAAGACACAGUGGUUGGAACCAUCAGACCAAAGGACAGAUUUCCACUGGUCUAAUGUCCAUUGCUUGUGUUUCUUGGCCCAAGCAAGUCUCUUCUUGUUAUUGGUGUCCUCUAGUAGUGGUUUCUUUGUAGCAAUUAAAGCCUGAAGGCCUGAUUCACGCAGUCUCCCCCGAACAGUUGAUCUUGAGAUAUGUUUGUUACUUAAACUUCGGGGAACAUUUAUUUUGGCUACAAUUUCUGAGGCUGGUAACUGUAAUGAACUUAUCCUCUGCAGCAGAGGUAACUCUGGGUCUUCCUUUCCUGUGGCGAUCCUCAUGAGUGCCAGUUUCAUCAUAGAGCUUGAUGGUUUUUGCAACUGCACUUGAAGAAACUUUAAAAGUUCUUUAUAUGUUCCGAAUUGACUGACCUUCAUGUCUUAAAGUAACGAUGGACUGUCGUUUCUCUUUGCUUAUUUGAGAUGUUCUUGCCAUAAUAUGGACUUGGUCUUCUAUCUAUCUUCUAUAUAUCACCCCUACCUUGUCACAACACAACUGAUUGGCUCAAACACAUUAAGAAGGAAAGAAAAUCCACAAAUGAACUUUUAACAAGGCACACUUGUGAAUUGAAAUUCAUUCCAGGUGACUACCUCAUGAAGCUGGUUGAGAGAAUGUCAAGAUUGUUCCAUAGUUGUCAUCAAGGCAAAGGGUGGCUACUUUGAAAAAUCACACAUAUUUUGAUUUGUUGAACACUUAUUUGGUUACUACAUGAUUCCAUAUGUGUUAUUUCAUAGUUUUGAUGUCUUCACUUAUUCUACAAUGAAGAAAAUAGUAAAAAAAUAUAUAUAAUAAAAAAAUAACUGGAAUGAGUAGGUGUCUCCAAACUUUUGACUGGUACUGUACUUCUUGUGUACCAAAAUGCAAUGACACUGUCGGUGUGAUCGAGGCGUGAGGAAGCACGAGCACCACCACCAAUUAGCCUAUACCACUGACAAUGUCUGGAGUCAAUGGAGCAGGUGUGGGUAUAGUCCAAGCUAUCUUAUGUAACACGUAUUCCAAACUCUAUCUUAUGGCAGCUCAGUCGUUUUUGAAGUCCUGUGUGAGUGCAUGAGAACAUCCGUGGUUAGUGCUCCUUAUGUAGGAAUUCUGUAGGCUUCUUGCAUUUUCUCUAAAAUAUUAUACUGUGUAUAAUUAAUACUGUAGAUCAGAAUGAAGUGAUUUUGUCUCGUCCAACUCUUGCAGUGUUUGGUUGUGAUGAACAAGUGGGGGUGGGAGGGUUCUGGUCAAGUGGCCAGAUUCGAAGGCCAAGGUCCAUUGGUGUCACCCCCUUCUCCUAGCUCUUACACAAAAGGACUACUAUGGUGUGAGAAAUAGGGUGAUGCCUUCACUUAUCUUCAAAUAGACAUAUGCCAACUGCUUUCACCUAUGCAGUCCUGCCAGAACUGUGAAGCCCAAAGAGUUAAAGGCAAGGGGCUGAAAUUCAUGUAAGGGGGACCUCCUGAUGGAAAGAACAAGCACAGCACACAAGCAGUGAGGAUAUGUGAUUAUUGUCCUGUGUAUUUCUCCCUUUAGUAUAGUGCAUAUGGUAAAACGUUAGUUUAAUGUGGAGUAGGCUAUUUGUGAGACUUUCAGUAUUGUAUGCACAACUGAUUGUUAAUGUAUUUUACUCCUUGUAGACUAUGUUGACAGUGAUGAGACAAGCUUAUAAUGCAACAUCUUAUUUGGAAGCACAACGUGUCCCUCGUUGAAAUAUGUUUUGGUUUUGAAAAUGUCACCUGUUUGCCUCACCUGUUCUGAUGUUUUGUAUGUCCAACUCAAAAGCACAUAUAAAGCACUUAAAAGCUAACUAAGUGGAGUCCACUGUUAUCAAAGGAGACUGUAGACUUCUUCUGCCAUUAAAAUCCUUGGGUGGGCCACCUAAGUGUUUUUUCCAGGACUCCUAAGUAAAAAAUUUUCAAUUAAACGGUGUAAAAAAAAGCAUUUUAUCUAUUUUUUAAAACAUGUAUUUUCAGAAUGGAAAAAAGCUUUCAGUCUAAACUUAAACGAUUAAAACCAGAUAAGUUAUGUAGAAAGAUAAUGGACCUAUAUAUUUUUCAAUUAUAUCAUAUUUGAAAACUAACAAUCACCAAAAUAAAACCUAGACAGUCUGGGAUAAUUGGAAAUUCUAAAAACAAUUCAUCUAUCCAUAUUGAUUUUGUUAAUAUGUUUGUGCAAAAGAACACAGCAUUAUCCAUGGCAAAAUGCAUAGAAUUGCAGGAAAUGUGCAAUAAAACUGCUAAAUUGUCACUCCCUCCAUGGCAUAAUAUGUAGAAUCGCAGAGAUACAUUUCUCUGUGGAGAAAUUGGUUUAAAAAGGCCUCUACACCACCUAAGCCCCCUUUAAAAAAAAAAAACCUUAAAGCUGAGAUCCGCGAUAGGCGAAGCAGCCGCCCCUAGAUGCAUUUGUUAUCAGUGUCUGUUGUUUGAAGUAAUGUCUGUUGUUGUAAUAUCGCAAACUGAUGUGUUCAAUUUCACCGCUAUGGAUUCCAGCUUUAAUUAAAGGUGUUACAUGAACUGAAAACAGCAUUCAGGUGUUGUAAAUGAAUGUAUCAUUUUUCAAAGAACAACAAAAAUCUUUGUGGGAUGGCAGUUUAAUGUAAAUUGAAGACAAAUGAAACCUUAUUCCCAAUCGUAGAAAAUUCUACUUGACCCCACAGUGAAACUGUGAAAUACAAGACCGUACCAGAAUGUGUUUAAUCUUAUGAGCUCUUCCUCUUUCUUAUACAGUACUGUAAUACAGAUGUGAUAUGUAGAUUGUACAAUUUUUUUUGUGAUCAGCAUACUAAUCCUUUUGUCAUUUGUGUGUUUUUUUACAGAAAAUUCUAUUGAAUAAGAUGUUGAGAAAUGCCCUUGCUCCAGAGAUUCAUGCUUUAAAUGUGUGUCAGAGGACAACAUGCACUUAUGAGAUUAUUCAUAAUUAAUGUAUGGUUUAUAUGAGGUGCUAUUUUUGCCUUUCUAUACUUGACCAUACCCUGUAUUUAGCUAAAUACUCUGCAUUUAAACUCCAACAUCACUGUAAAUGUCACAAAGACAUGAAUCCCAAUAUUUCCUGUCAGUCAAUUAUAGGCCUACUGUAUCUGGACAACUGAUCAAUUUGGUAUAGGCCAUUACAGUUUAUCUCUGUUCAUCAUGACCCUGAUACAAUUCCAAGGAUUUGAUUGAUCCAUUACUGGUAUUUCAACUUUGGUAGAGCAAUAUCUUUAUUUGUACCAAAAAAAAUGUAUGAUUAGUAAAUAUUCGAAAAAGUAGCAUGCACAUAUAUGCCACGUGUCCUUCAUACUUUCUGUAAUCUACUUCAAAGGAUACUGUGGCGAAUUUGUAAUCGUAUUGUGUGUCUGUGAAUUUGCCAUCCAUGGUUUUGACAGAACAUGUGUGGGGUCCCCCUCUGGUGAUAACUUGUUCACUCGGUUUUUGUAGUUCGGAUAUUGAGUGGAUUUUAAUAAAACUUCAAGAAAUAGAUUGUUUUCCAGUUUUUUAAAAAUUUGUCAACCUAACCAUUCCUAUAAAUCGUCAUAUGAUGCAAAGCAUCGUCGUCGUCGUCACAGUUUUUGCUUACUGAAAGUGCUGUAUCUUCUUGAAAACUUGACUGCUGACAUUACAUGUCUUGUUUUUUUGGAUUGUACUAAUGACCAAUAUACUAAAAUAUAGUUUUAAGUGAACUAUCCUAUUAAACAUAAUUGUCCUUUGACAUCUUUUAGUGCGUUCCCACGCGUAGUUCUGAGCUAUAGUUCGAUUAUUUGUUCAAUUGUAUUUUCUUAAUUUGGUCCAGGUGGUUUCACAUUGCCUAUCCUGGUAUAUCCUUGUCUCCCCACAAUUUACAUCCAUAAAUUCGCUGCUACCCACAUAAUGUUCAACAGAUAUCAAGUUAUGGUACUGUUUGCAUGUCAUCAAAUGCUUGCAGUCAAACAAUCAAUACAGCACGCCUCUGGUUAUUUUCUGGUAUUUGGUCCGGACUGCGUUCUCAUCUGCAGUGAACCGCACCAAGGUACGAACGGAAUCUGACUGAGACCAACCACGGUGCGCUCGAGUGCGGAUAGUGUUCAGACCAGUCCAAACGAACCGAACCGCUCCAAACUCAUUUGCUGUGAAAGCCCACAGAGCCCAACAUACAAAUCAAAUACACACGCGGGCUCAUGAGUUUGUGAGAACUUCCGUCAAAGUCGGAAUCGAAAUUUCCUGAUCCAGAAAGAGUUGUAGCCUAAUCAAAAACAAUGGCAACAAAUCCUCCAAGUCUAACCGGCUUCCUUGCAGGUAACUCAACUCAUAUCCUGAACUUGUAAAUUCACAUCCUUGUCACGCUCUCCAGAAGGAUCACAUCAACAUGAUAUGUGUGGAUAAAAGCCCAAUAGUUGAUGUGAUUAUAGCAUGUAUGCUGUAAUUAGUCUGAUGCACUGAUUCACUUCCUGUCAUCAAAUGACAGCCCCAAUUACAGGGCUUCAAGGGUAAACUGAGAGCCAAAGACUGCAACCAUGAUGGAAUAAGAGAGUACGCAUUGUUUCCAUUCAUUUAAGACUGAAGCAUACCCUGAAUAUCUGGAUCUACAGAACAUAAGGGGCAUGGACUCAUUUUGACGUAAGACCAUUUUUGAAAUAUAGAAACUUCUGUUGAUUUUGGAGUGAACUGACACUUUAAUGAUCUGGCAAGAGGCAUAACAGUUUCACGAGCUACUUAAAAAUGGCACUUAAAGAGCUGCGGUCAAAUAUAUUGGCACCCUUGAACGAUUCCAUUUAUUCUCAUCAGCUGAAAUUGAAGAAAACUGUUGGCGUUAACAAGUGUUUUUGAUUUAAAGCUGCACGGGACCAUGAAACGAAACAUCCAAACUGAAAUUAAGAUUUAUUACAUAAAUGUAAAAAAAUGGCUUGGACUAAAUGAUUUAAAAUUGAAAUGAGUUUGUUUGGAGGAAAGUGAUUCUUGUUAAGGUUGCAAUAAGUUCCAGGUGCCUCAAGAGUAAAAAAUAAAUAACAUUCAACCAGUUUUUUUUUAAAGAGAACAGAACCUUCUGCUCCAUUGUAAAGUGCAAGGGUGCCAAUAUAUUUGACUGCAACUGUACUCCGUAUUGGCAGUAAAACUUGACUUGACGGUCGAGAGCUUACUGUCAGUUGCAUGGCAUGACUGAUGUUUUAAGUGGUCCCUAUUGUUGAUGCUGGUUUAUUGCAAAUGAUUCAACAUUAUGUUGUUGACUUCAGCAAUAUGAACUAUGGCUCGUUAGCUAACCUAAAUUGAGGCAUGUGCCAUCAUGACUGCCGAAUCAAGUCUAAACUGAUAUCAGUUACUGUGACUGCAUAAGACAUAUUUUAAGUAAGGUUUAUGACACGUUUUUAUGUUGUAUGUGUUCUUAUCCUGUUGCUUUUUCACUUUAUUUGUGGCCAACUGCCUUGUGAAUGUGAACAGUGGCUGUUCUGUCAAUGCUGACUGUUGUACCCUCAAUAAUAUGAUAUUUUUUUUUAAAGCCCGUAACAGUGUGGAAGUGUAUUCCUUAUUUUGUAAUGCAAAACCAGAAAGGGCUUAUUCCAUUGCAGCUUGUUUUCCAAUCAUGUUAUAAAAAAAAAAAGGAAUAGCACUCAAUGUAUAUUUAUUUGUCAAUAGAUAUAUUUAUUUGUCAAUAGAUAUACCAUACUGCUCUGCAUAUGCAUGGGAAAUGGCAAUCAAAAACGGUGACGUGGACUCCUGUUUUGACAGUAAUUAUUACAAUACACUGACUGAAGUGAGCAUGAAAGGAAUUCAGCCUUGUGGGAAUUGGUGAGCAGUAUCUUGAUUCUCACUAAGCUUACUGUCACUGCCAGAGUACCUGUCCCCAUGCAUUCUCUCAACUAAAGGUGAAUGAACGGGAUAAUUAUAUUUUCUGUCCCAUAAUUUGAAAUGGAUUAAUAUUAAUCUAAAUCAUUUCCUCCUGUAGUACCGUGCAGUUGAAGUUGGGUACCCUAAAAUGCCACUUUUGGCAAGUAUUUCCAAUUCAUAAUGUAAAGAAAAUCUCUCUUAUAGGGAAUUCCCUGGUCAGCUUUAAGUGGGUAUCACAUAUUUAACUAUUGUCCUGUAAAUCAUAUUCUGAGAUGUAAAGUAAUUAUUUGUUUCUAUGUGAAACUCCUUUUAUGUGACCCCUUUGUAAGAUACACUGAAUGUGGGAGGCAUUUCUUCUCUGUACAUAGUCUCGAUUUUGCAGAAUAUAUCAAUGAAAAAUGUCAUUUCACCAAAGGUUUACUAAGUGUGGACAUGCAUGACGUUUGAACUAUUCUAUAUUUUGUUGUCCUUGUUAUGUUGUUUAUAUUUUGUAAUCUGUAUUUCUGUAUGUGUUUUUAAAAGAUCAUUUUGAA
Molecule: RNA transcript, 11503 nt
Organism: Oncorhynchus keta (chum salmon)
Lineage: Eukaryota; Metazoa; Chordata; Actinopteri; Salmoniformes; Salmonidae
Gene name: CREB-regulated transcription coactivator 1-like
Exons: 4
Source: RefSeq, a predicted model, not a curated record